UACUUAUAUUACCAUAUUUUUCUCAAAAAUAUCUUCUCAAAUACAUAAGUUCAUAAAUACAUAGAGGUUAUUAAACAUUAAUUUUGUAAAUGUGUUCUAAAAUUUAUUCUUUAUUCAUUAGCUAAACAGUAUUCUAGAUCUUUGUAAUUCAAUACCUAAAAUAGUAAGCGAUCUUGGAUUUAUUGGUACAGAUGUUCAUAACGAGGCGAAGGUCUUGAGUGAGAAAUUCGUUGCUUUGUUCUCCAAAUACUCGACAUGCUACAAUUUUAUAAAUUCAAGUGAAAUAAUUAAAAAGAAUCCAUUAUCAGAAUUAGAAAGAGCCAUUGAUGAAUUAAUGAGUUACUUUCGUAAAACAUGGCCCAAUGAGUCCAUUACUCCAAAAAUGCAUUUGUUAGAAAGUCAUUGUGUUGAUUUUAUUAGAAAUUAGAAUUUGGGUCUUGAUAUUUAUGGAGAGCAAGGUUUAGAAAGCAUGCAUGCCGAAUUCAACAGUAUGAACAGCACAUUUUGUCAUAUGAAAGGAAAGCAAAGACUGAGAAGUAUUUUGUCCAAUCACUAUAUCAAAAACUCUCCAGAAGCUUUAAUAAUUAGACCAACUAUUAAAAAAAGAAAGCCUUAUAAAAGAAAAGCUUGAAAACGUGAAACUUUAUAGAUGAAUUUUAGAAUCAAAAAAUGUAUAUUAUAUAA
Hydra vulgaris (swiftwater hydra) is the source of this 684-nucleotide non-coding RNA. Lineage: Eukaryota; Metazoa; Cnidaria; Hydrozoa; Anthoathecata; Hydridae. The record is from RefSeq and is a predicted model, not a curated record.